Molecule: ribosomal RNA, 785 nt
Filed under: Bacillus sp. SWYel
Lineage: Bacteria; Bacillati; Bacillota; Bacilli; Caryophanales; Bacillaceae
Description: bacterial SSU rRNA
Rfam family: Bacterial small subunit ribosomal RNA
Source: RNAcentral
CUAUGGGGGCCGUCUAUGAUGCAGUCGAGCGGAUCGAUGGGAGCUUGCUCCCUGAGAUCAGCGGCGGACGGGUGAGUAACACGUGGGUAACCUGCCUGUAAGACUGGGAUAACUCCGGGAAACCGGGGCUAAUACCGGAUAACACCUACCCCCGCAUGGGGGAAGGUUGAAAGGUGGCUUCGGCUAUCACUUACAGAUGGACCCGCGGCGCAUUAGCUAGUUGGUGAGGUAAUGGCUCACCAAGGCGACGAUGCGUAGCCGACCUGAGAGGGUGAUCGGCCACACUGGGACUGAGACACGGCCCAGACUCCUACGGGAGGCAGCAGUAGGGAAUCUUCCGCAAUGGACGAAAGUCUGACGGAGCAACGCCGCGUGAGUGAAGAAGGUUUUCGGAUCGUAAAACUCUGUUGUUAGGGAAGAACAAGUGCCGUUCGAAUAGGGCGGCGCCUUGACGGUACCUAACCAGAAAGCCACGGCUAACUACGUGCCAGCAGCCGCGGUAAUACGUAGGUGGCAAGCGUUGUCCGGAAUUAUUGGGCGUAAAGCGCGCGCAGGUGGUUUCUUAAGUCUGAUGUGAAAGCCCACGGCUCAACCGUGGAGGGUCAUUGGAAACUGGGGAACUUGAGUGCAGAAGAGGAAAGUGGAAUUCCAAGUGUAGCGGUGAAAUGCGUAGAUAUUUGGAGGAACACCAGUGGCGAAGCGACUUUCUGGUCUGUAACUGACACUGAGGCGCGAAAGCGUGGGGGAGCAAACAGGAUUAGAACGCGUGCGUAUGUAUUCACCAA